AAUAUACUAAAAUAUAAGGGCAAAUGGAUGCAAAACUACUCUAAAAUGCCUAUAUGAAAUGAGUAUAACAGAUAACACCUAUAGGGAAAUACCCUAAUUGCCACUUUUAUGUAUUGGCUUGCAUGAGUAACUUAAUAUGAAUGAAACUCUUUGAGUGAUCUCUGCUUAGUAUUUAUUGCAUUAAGAUAUUUGGUCUACAGCAGGCAACCUUUUUUUUAUUUUUUUUCUGAACUGUUGUCCUGAUGGGGUUAUUGAUUUACCAAGACCAUUUUUGCAACAAUUGAGGGGGUGGGGCGGGUGCAGGGAAGUUUUCCUUAGUUAGCAUUGCAUACUAAUUUUCUGUAAAUCUGCUUCUUUGUCUUUAGUUGGCUCAUUAGAUAUUUGUAUUUUGUACUGAAUUUAUGAACAUUUGUCAUUAGUACAUUGUCUUAUUAUAGAAUCUGGGUAUGACAGAUGUAGCAGCAUUGAGAUUUGGUUCCAACUUUGAAAAUGUGUUACAACUUUGUUGAGUUCCUGGUUUACUACCUCUUAAAAUUUGGUAUAUUCAGUUCCACAAAUGUGUGUAACAUUGGCUGACCUGUUGCAGGUGGUAUUGGAUAAAUUGGUUAAACCAUCAAAUGUCAUCAUUGACUACAAUAC
Molecule: unclassified non-coding RNA, 639 nt
Filed under: Hevea brasiliensis (rubber tree)
Lineage: Eukaryota; Viridiplantae; Streptophyta; Magnoliopsida; Malpighiales; Euphorbiaceae
Source: RNAcentral